GUUCUGGCAACAGCAGGUGACAUUAGCUUUGAUUAAUGUCAGAACUGUGAAUGUAGCAGCUGAGGACCUGCACACCUGCAACGCUGACAUGCUUACCUAAUGGCUUAGUUGUUAAAUGCAGAAGUGGUUAAUCAACAUUUCAACACAUGGUCUGAGGUGGGAGAAGGGGGGGAGAAAUCCACAACAACUUAAUUAAUGUGCCAGAUACCCAUGCCGAAAUGUUGCCUAGAUUAUUUUUAGGCUGCAUAGUGAAAGCUGGAAGACCAGAUAAUUCUCAGCACCUAUUUCACUUAUCAAACAUUGGAGUAGAGCAUACAGCAAAAAGAGUUCUGAGAUUGCUAAUCAGGAAGUGAAGGCUGAAAAGCUCUGUAAGAACUAGUAAGAAUUUUGUUUCAAUUCAUUUUUUUAAAAAAAUUGGAAUUCACAAAUGUUUUUAUAU
Molecule: long non-coding RNA, 439 nt
Filed under: Pogona vitticeps (central bearded dragon)
Lineage: Eukaryota; Metazoa; Chordata; Lepidosauria; Squamata; Agamidae
Description: lncRNA (ENSPVIG00000016267.1)
Source: RNAcentral